Molecule: unclassified non-coding RNA, 258 nt
Filed under: Hevea brasiliensis (rubber tree)
Lineage: Eukaryota; Viridiplantae; Streptophyta; Magnoliopsida; Malpighiales; Euphorbiaceae
Source: RNAcentral
AUACAUAAGAAGAAUUUCACUCAAUAACUUGAGAACAAAAGUCACCUUCACCAAACCAGCAGAUCUUUCUGAUUCAGACUCCACUUUCCUCGUCUCAUCAACCUUAGAUUUGCCCUUCACCUUGGUGGCAGGUUCAUCCACCUCCAUAGAAUUUGAUUCACUUGUACAACCCUCCUCAUUUUUUGGCAAAGGGUAUUUCAAGACUAUGUCCAAAAGCUGAUCAAUUACUUGAGCAAGAUUGGCAGGAAUCUUUUUAUG